RNAcentral lists this ribosomal RNA (969 nucleotides) under Triticum aestivum (bread wheat). RNAcentral describes it as "partial small subunit ribosomal RNA". The record is from RNAcentral. Lineage: Eukaryota; Viridiplantae; Streptophyta; Magnoliopsida; Poales; Poaceae.
AUGGCUCGUGGCGAUCAUCAAAACGGUGAUGAUGAUUUCAUGGAUCCACCACAGCGUAAUCGGGCAACUGGACGGAGAAAAGAGGGUGAUGAGAAGAAGAAACGUAUUCGCAACAGAGCCUCCCAAGAACGACUGACUGCGUUGACUGACAAAUUCACCAACGAUCAGAAGGGGGCUGCUGCUGAGAUGGGUAUGCAGUCUAUGAUGGAUGUCCGGUGCACGAACCUUGUCAACCCUGUAUGCGACUGGCUUGGUGAGAUCUACGACCCCGCCUCUAGGGAAUUCGUGAUUCCGGGACGUGGAAGACUACCGUUGAACGAGGAAUCCGUGUUCUGCACUUUGGGUGUGCCUCGUGGACAUAUCAAAGUCCCGUACGAGGUCAACAAUGAAAUCAAGGAAGCGCUGUUCCCCCGUUUGUUUCCUGGGUCGGAAUCCAUGCCGAACACGUCUGCAGUGGCAGAUUCGCUGCAGGCCAUGACGAUGCAUGGAGAUGUUUUCAAGAUGAAGCUACUCAUGUACCUCAUCUCAGCUGUUUUCACGCCGACCACCUCUCUUCGCCCAAGCAACAAAUGCUUCCCCAUCCUGGCGGAUCUGGAAAAUGUGAAGAACAUGAAUUGGUGUAAGUUUAUUUCCGAUUUCCUGCAUAAUGCAUUCUCAAGCAAGAUGUACCAAAAGGGUUGUCGACUGCAUUUAAUGCCCAUGUACGUCGACUGUCUUGAUCUGUCCACUGUGGAUUUCACUGGGACAGGAGGCCCGCCGCCUGCGCACAAGUUUGUUGUUUCUGCGUGGACUAUCAACGCUGUCAAGGUUGUGCUUGCCGCAUAUAAGGCUACUGACACCAUAUAUGGAAAACUGCAGCUGAUGGCCAAGCAUGCUAUAGACUACAGCGUGUUUGGGGGGCCUCAAAACUUUGGAAAGUGGAUGGACGUGCACUCAGCUCCGUCUUGCCCUGCCGAGGGCACCUGUUGA